Molecule: non-coding RNA, 85 nt
Submitted as: unclassified sequences
Source: Rfam
UUCACUGUUUACCGAAAACUUUAAACUACAACUCAUCAGUCUUUUGCAGAGAUAGACUUAUGUAAAGCUGAAAAAGAAAUCUGCA